RNAcentral lists this transfer RNA (74 nucleotides) under Candidatus Karelsulcia muelleri. RNAcentral describes it as "tRNA-Asn". It matches the Rfam family "tRNA". Rfam says of the family: Transfer RNA (tRNA) molecules are approximately 80 nucleotides in length. Their secondary structure includes four short double-helical elements and three loops (D, anti-codon, and T loops). Further hydrogen bonds mediate the characteristic L-shaped molecular structure. tRNAs have two regions of fundamental functional importance: the anti-codon, which is responsible for specific mRNA codon recognition, and the 3' end, to which the tRNAs corresponding amino acid is attached (by aminoacyl-tRNA synthetases). tRNAs cope with the degeneracy of the genetic code in two manners: having more than one tRNA (with a specific anti-codon) for a particular amino acid; and 'wobble' base-pairing, i.e. permitting non-standard base-pairing at the 3rd anti-codon position. The record is from RNAcentral. Lineage: Bacteria; Pseudomonadati; Bacteroidota; Flavobacteriia; Flavobacteriales.
UCCUCAGUAGCUCAGUUGGUUAGAGCACCUGACUGUUAAUCAGGGUGUCGUUGGUUCAAGUCCAGCUUGAGGAG